UAAACCCUGCUCAGAAGUCAAGAGCAGCAGCGCCGCCGCUCCUCGCGGCCUUUCAAGCCGCAGACGCUCCUUAUUCUUGAGCUUCGGCCUCACCGGGCGCCCCCCGAGACCGCCGCUCUCUUCCCGCUAAAUCCCCUUCGGGGUCAGUGCGCUACCAGCACCGGGCCGCGCGCCUCUCCUGCCAGCCGUGUGGCUCUUAAAGAGCGGCGCCCCCCUCCGCCCCGCGCGCUCCUCAGACCCCCGCCUCCCCGCCCCUCGCCUUCGGAUCUAGCCCCCCACGCCGACUCCUGAGGUCCCUGCUGCCCCGCC
This 309-nucleotide long non-coding RNA is filed under the name Octodon degus (degu). RNAcentral describes it as "Six3os1 conserved region 4 (ENSODEG00000021409.1)". It matches the Rfam family "Six3os1 conserved region 4". The record is from RNAcentral. Lineage: Eukaryota; Metazoa; Chordata; Mammalia; Rodentia; Octodontidae.